CACGUAGGGGGCAAGCGUUGUCCGGAUUUAUUGGGCGUAAAGAGCUCGUAGGUGGUUCGGUAAGUCAGGUGUGAAAGCUCCAGGCUCAACCUGGAGACGCCACUUGAUACUGCUGUGACUGGAGUCCGGUAGGGGAGCGUGGAAUUCCUGGUGUAGCGGUGAAAUGCGCAGAUAUCAGGAGGAACACCAGCGGCGAAGGCGGCGCUCUGGGCCGGUACUGACACUGAGACGCGAAAGCGUGGGGAGCGAACAGG
Molecule: ribosomal RNA, 254 nt
Filed under: uncultured bacterium
Lineage: Bacteria
Description: partial 16S ribosomal RNA
Rfam family: Bacterial small subunit ribosomal RNA
Source: RNAcentral